This 502-nucleotide ribosomal RNA is filed under the name bacterium enrichment culture clone ALO1_GLFRUDD03F8MQP. RNAcentral describes it as "bacterial SSU rRNA". It matches the Rfam family "Bacterial small subunit ribosomal RNA", at positions 9 to 507 of the family's 1533-position model. The record is from RNAcentral.
GAGUUUGAUCAUGGCUCAGAUUGAACGCUGGCGGCAGGCCUAACACAUGCAAGUCGAGCGGAUGACGGGAGCUUGCUCCUUGAUUCAGCGGCGGACGGGUGAGUAAUGCCUAGGAAUCUGCCUGGUAGUGGGGGACAACGUUUCGAAAGGAACGCUAAUACCGCAUACGUCCUACGGGAGAAAGCAGGGGACCUUCGGGCCUUGCGCUAUCAGAUGAGCCUAGGUCGGAUUAGCUAGUUGGUGGGGUAAUGGCUCACCAAGGCGACGAUCCGUAACUGGUCUGAGAGGAUGAUCAGUCACACUGGAACUGAGACACGGUCCAGACUCUACGGGAGGCAGCAGUGGGGAAUAUUGGACAAUGGGCGAAAGCCUGAUCCAGCCAUGCCGCGUGUGUGAAGAAGGUCUUCGGAUUGUAAAGCACUUUAAGUUGGGAGGAAGGGCAGUAAGUUAAUACCUUGCUGUUUUGACGUUACCGACAGAAUAAGCACCGGCUAACUCUGUG